This 616-nucleotide long non-coding RNA is filed under the name Homo sapiens (human). Its description in RNAcentral is "HSALNT0226398". Lineage: Eukaryota; Metazoa; Chordata; Mammalia; Primates; Hominidae. The record is from RNAcentral.
CAUGCGCGUGGACGGUGGGUCAGAUGCUGUAGCCGCCAUCUGAAGCCGACGUGUGAAACUUCAGCUUCUUAGCAACAGGAUCCGGCGAUUGGACGGAACCUCUCGGAUUCCCCAGUGCUGUGAAAUCCACUUGGGGCCAUCACACCCUUCAUUGCUGUGCUCCCUGGCAGAACUCGAAUGCAGCGUGAGCUGGGCACUUUUCCCAGGGUUUGCUCUAGGUCUGGGUCUCCCAUCAGCUCCCCCGGAGCAGAGCCUGAGGCAAGGAUUCUUGUUCGGGGGCAUCUUCCUCUCAGCACCGUGCUUUGGGAAUCGAGUGAUGGUGCUGAGUGAACCCCUGAGUGAACAUCUGUGGCUUCCUCCCACCUCGUCUCUGGAUGCACUCCUGUUCGAAUCCGGAGCCUUUGGGUCUCAUGUAGCCAAUGAUGUGAAAAAGUGAAGGAUGCUGAGAGGAGAUCAUCCAGAUGUCUUAGAGGAUAAAAAUGAGCGGGCAGAUGAAGAGAUACUCAGGGUGAGGUUUGGAAGGUGCACCAGGCCCACCCCAUGGAUGUGGCUCAGAGAGCCUGGGAAACGUGAGGUCUGUGACCUGGAUCAGGCCCAGAGAGACCUGAGCAGGAGG